UUAAGUUCAGCGGGUAUCCCUACCUGAUCCGAGGUCAACCUUGUGUGAUGGGUGCGGGCACAACGGCGGCAACCUAGAAAGCUGGAGAUUUUACUACGCUUGAGGUUUAACCACCAUCGCCGACGUCUUUAGGGGGCGCCCCAAAGGGCGGCACCCAAUACCAAGCAGGGCUUGAGGGUUGAUAAUGACGCUCGAACAGG
Molecule: unclassified non-coding RNA, 200 nt
Filed under: Botryosphaeriales sp.
Lineage: Eukaryota; Fungi; Ascomycota; Dothideomycetes; Botryosphaeriales
Description: partial internal transcribed spacer 2
Source: RNAcentral